CUGCUGGGUGAAUCCAACCAUAAAACCAAUUAUCAGAUAAAUCAAGGCCGAGCAGUUCUUCAAAAGGAUAAAACAUGGAGAGAUUUAGACUACAAAUUUUAUGAUAUGGAAAUAUGACCGCAUCGAGGGAAAGAUCAACGACACGCCGGGAGGUGGUAUUGCACUUAACUCUAUUCCAACCACAACAGUUGCUCAUUCUAUCUUCAACCCAUGAAUCAAGAUCAUCAUCAAGCUCACAGUUUGAUUUUAGGAAAGCCUU
Molecule: unclassified non-coding RNA, 259 nt
Filed under: Hevea brasiliensis (rubber tree)
Lineage: Eukaryota; Viridiplantae; Streptophyta; Magnoliopsida; Malpighiales; Euphorbiaceae
Source: RNAcentral